RNAcentral lists this ribosomal RNA (2901 nucleotides) under Klebsiella aerogenes. RNAcentral's name for it is "bacterial LSU rRNA". It matches the Rfam family "Bacterial large subunit ribosomal RNA". Lineage: Bacteria; Pseudomonadati; Pseudomonadota; Gammaproteobacteria; Enterobacterales; Enterobacteriaceae. The record is from RNAcentral.
UAAGCGACUAAGCGUACACGGUGGAUGCCCUGGCAGUCAGAGGCGAUGAAGGACGUGCUAAUCUGCGAAAAGCGUCGGUAAGGUGAUAUGAACCGUUACAGCCGGCGAUGUCCGAAUGGGGAAACCCAGUGUGAUUCGUCACACUAUCGUUAACUGAAUACAUAGGUUAACGAGGCGAACCGGGGGAACUGAAACAUCUAAGUACCCCGAGGAAAAGAAAUCAACCGAGAUUCCCCCAGUAGCGGCGAGCGAACGGGGAGCAGCCCAGAGUCUGAAUCAGCUUGUGUGUUAGUGGAACGGUCUGGAAAGUCCGACGGUACAGGGUGAUAGUCCCGUACACCAAAAUGCACAGGCUGUGAACUCGAAGAGUAGGGCGGGACACGUGGUAUCCUGUCUGAAUAUGGGGGGACCAUCCUCCAAGGCUAAAUACUCCUGACUGACCGAUAGUGAACCAGUACCGUGAGGGAAAGGCGAAAAGAACCCCGGCGAGGGGAGUGAAAAAGAACCUGAAACCGUGUACGUACAAGCAGUGGGAGCACCUUCGGGUGUGACUGCGUACCUUUUGUAUAAUGGGUCAGCGACUUAUAUUCUGUAGCAAGGUUAACCGUAUAGGGGAGCCGCAGGGAAACCGAGUCUUAACUGGGCGUUAAGUUGCAGGGUAUAGACCCGAAACCCGGUGAUCUAGCCAUGGGCAGGUUGAAGGUUGGGUAACACUAACUGGAGGACCGAACCGACUAAUGUUGAAAAAUUAGCGGAUGACUUGUGGCUGGGGGUGAAAGGCCAAUCAAACCGGGAGAUAGCUGGUUCUCCCCGAAAGCUAUUUAGGUAGCGCCUCGUGAAUUCAUCUUCGGGGGUAGAGCACUGUUUCGGCUAGGGGGUCAUCCCGACUUACCAACCCGAUGCAAACUACGAAUACCGAAGAAUGUUAUCACGGGAGACACACGGCGGGUGCUAACGUCCGUCGUGAAGAGGGAAACAACCCAGACCGCCAGCUAAGGUCCCAAAGUCACAGUUAAGUGGGAAACGAUGUGGGAAGGCACAGACAGCCAGGAUGUUGGCUUAGAAGCAGCCAUCAUUUAAAGAAAGCGUAAUAGCUCACUGGUCGAGUCGGCCUGCGCGGAAGAUGUAACGGGGCUAAACUGUGCACCGAAGCUGCGGCAGCGACACGAUGUGUUGUUGGGUAGGGGAGCGUUCUGUAAGCCUGCGAAGGUGGCCUGUGAGGGUUGCUGGAGGUAUCAGAAGUGCGAAUGCUGACAUAAGUAACGAUAAUGCGGGUGAAAAGCCCGCACGCCGGAAGACCAAGGGUUCCUGUCCAACGUUAAUCGGGGCAGGGUGAGUCGACCCCUAAGGCGAGGCCGAAAGGCGUAGUCGAUGGGAAACAGGUUAAUAUUCCUGUACUUGGUGUUACUGCGAAGGGGGGACGGAGAAGGCUAUGUUAGCCGGGCGACGGUUGUCCCGGUUUAAGCAUGUAGGCGGAGGUUCCAGGUAAAUCCGGUACCUUUUUAACGCUGAGGUGUGAUGACGAGGCACUACGGUGCUGAAGUAACAAAUGCCCUGCUUCCAGGAAAAGCCUCUAAGCAUCAGGUAACAUUAAAUCGUACCCCAAACCGACACAGGUGGUCAGGUAGAGAAUACCAAGGCGCUUGAGAGAACUCGGGUGAAGGAACUAGGCAAAAUGGUGCCGUAACUUCGGGAGAAGGCACGCUGAUAUGUAGGUGAAGCCCCUGCGGGUGGAGCUGAAAUCAGUCGAAGAUACCAGCUGGCUGCAACUGUUUAUUAAAAACACAGCACUGUGCAAACACGAAAGUGGACGUAUACGGUGUGACGCCUGCCCGGUGCCGGAAGGUUAAUUGAUGGGGUUAUCCGUAAGGAGAAGCUCUUGAUCGAAGCCCCGGUAAACGGCGGCCGUAACUAUAACGGUCCUAAGGUAGCGAAAUUCCUUGUCGGGUAAGUUCCGACCUGCACGAAUGGCGUAAUGAUGGCCAGGCUGUCUCCACCCGAGACUCAGUGAAAUUGAACUCGCUGUGAAGAUGCAGUGUACCCGCGGCAAGACGGAAAGACCCCGUGAACCUUUACUAUAGCUUGACACUGAACAUUGAGCCUUGAUGUGUAGGAUAGGUGGGAGGCUUUGAAGCGUGGACGCCAGUCUGCGUGGAGCCAACCUUGAAAUACCACCCUUUAAUGUUUGAUGUUCUAACGUUGGCCCCUUAUCGGGGUUGCGGACAGUGUCUGGUGGGUAGUUUGACUGGGGCGGUCUCCUCCCAAAGAGUAACGGAGGAGCACGAAGGUUAGCUAAUCCUGGUCGGACAUCAGGAGGUUAGUGCAAUGGCAUAAGCUAGCUUGACUGCGAGCGUGACGGCGCGAGCAGGUGCGAAAGCAGGUCAUAGUGAUCCGGUGGUUCUGAAUGGAAGGGCCAUCGCUCAACGGAUAAAAGGUACUCCGGGGAUAACAGGCUGAUACCGCCCAAGAGUUCAUAUCGACGGCGGUGUUUGGCACCUCGAUGUCGGCUCAUCACAUCCUGGGGCUGAAGUAGGUCCCAAGGGUAUGGCUGUUCGCCAUUUAAAGUGGUACGCGAGCUGGGUUUAGAACGUCGUGAGACAGUUCGGUCCCUAUCUGCCGUGGGCGCUGGAGAAUUGAGGGGGGCUGCUCCUAGUACGAGAGGACCGGAGUGGACGCAUCACUGGUGUUCGGGUUGUCAUGCCAAUGGCAUUGCCCGGUAGCUAAAUGCGGAAGAGAUAAGUGCUGAAAGCAUCUAAGCACGAAACUUGCCCCGAGAUGAGUUCUCCCUGAGACUUUAAGUCUCCUGAAGGAACGUUAAAGACGAUGACGUUGAUAGGUCGGGUGUGUAAGCGUAGCGAUACGUUGAGCUAACCGAUACUAAUGAACCGUGAGGCUUAACCU